RNAcentral lists this transfer RNA (71 nucleotides) under Marmota monax (woodchuck). Its description in RNAcentral is "tRNA.Ala". Lineage: Eukaryota; Metazoa; Chordata; Mammalia; Rodentia; Sciuridae. The record is from RNAcentral.
GGGGUUGUGGCUCAGUGGUAGAGCUCUCACCUGGCACAUGUGAGGCACUGGUUUCGAUCCUCAGCACCACA